UUGGGGUUUAAUAUUUCCUUUUACUUUAAUGCUUUUAAGUAUGUUUGGUUGGAUUUAAUUUUUAUUUUAAUUUAGUUAUUUACAUUAGUAAAAUUACUUUCAAACCCCCCCCCCCCUUUGUGUUUGACUUAAUUCUCGAACCGCAAAAAUUGGUCCUUGGGAGACGACCUAGGGGUCAUUCCCUAGCUAUACUGCAUUUCUAAUAUGCAAUCAAAUUUGUAUGGGCCGCGACACCCAUCAGUGGUAAAGUAUGAAUAUGGACAGCGAAAUCCACAACGUUCAACUUGAAAUUCUAAUGAUUACCAAUUCUCAAAUAGAGAUGGGUAAGACAUUUCGUGAGAAUGUUAGGGGGUCCUAGCCUAUAGGUUCUUAGGUUAUAACUGAUUAACCCCGGGUGGCAGCUAAUGGUGUUCCAGUUACUACACCUCGGGUGCAAGAACGACCUCAAGCUACAUAUUCAUACUAUCCAGAUGGUCAAGUCAAGUGGUCGAUCUUUGCCUAUAUUAAUGUGUUCUGUCAUUGCCUG
This 526-nucleotide long non-coding RNA is filed under the name Vigna radiata. Its description in RNAcentral is "long non-coding RNA (VRAD_LNC012392)". The record is from RNAcentral. Lineage: Eukaryota; Viridiplantae; Streptophyta; Magnoliopsida; Fabales; Fabaceae.